CGGGUGAGGAAUGCAUGGGUAACCUGUCCUUGAGAAGGGAAUAACCCGCCGAAAGGUGAGCUAAUACCCUAUACGCUUCGCUUUUUUUGAAAAGUGAAGGAAAGUCAAGCCGUGGGCUUGGCGCCCUCGGAGGGGCUCAUGUCCUAUCAGCUUGUUGGUGGGGUAACGGCCUACCAAGGCUACGACGGGUAGCUGGUCUGAGAGGAUGAUCAGCCACACUGGCACUGAGAUACGGGCCAG
This 240-nucleotide ribosomal RNA is filed under the name uncultured bacterium. RNAcentral describes it as "partial 16S ribosomal RNA". It matches the Rfam family "Bacterial small subunit ribosomal RNA", at positions 103 to 334 of the family's 1533-position model. The record is from RNAcentral.